Molecule: ribosomal RNA, 440 nt
Filed under: uncultured bacterium
Lineage: Bacteria
Description: partial 16S ribosomal RNA
Rfam family: Bacterial small subunit ribosomal RNA
Source: RNAcentral
CCUACGGGAGGCAGCAGUGGGGAAUAUUGCACAAUGGGGGGAACCCUGAUGCAGCAAUGCCGCGUGGGUGAAGAAGCACUCCGGUGCGUAAAGCCCUGUCAGCAGGGAAGAAAAUGACAGUACCUGGACAAGAAGCCCCGGCUAACUACGUGCCAGCAGCCGCGGUAAUACGUAGGGGGCAAGCGUUAUCCGGAUUUACUGGGUGUAAAGGGAGCGCAGGCGGCGUGGCAAGUCAGAUGUGAAAGGCGGGGGCCCAACCUCCGGACUGCUUUGGAAACUGUAUGGCUGGAGUGCAGGAGAGGUAAGUGGAAUUCCUAGUGUAGCGGUGAAAUGCGUAGAUAUUAGGAGGAACACCAGUGGCGAAGGCGGCUUACUGGACUGUAACUGACGUUGAGGCUCGAAAGCGUGGGGAGCAAACAGGAUUAGAUACCCGGGUAGUC